CGCAUCUUGCGCUCUCUGGUAUUCCGGAGAGCAUGUCUGUUUGAGUGUCAUGAAUUCUUCAACCCAAUCUUUUCUUAGUAAUCGAUUGGUGUUUGGAUUCUGAGCGCUGCUGGCUUCGGCCUAGCUCGUUCGUAAUACAUCAGCAUCCCUAAUACAAGUUUGGAUUGACUUGGCGUAAUAGACUAUUCGCUAAGGAUUCAGUGGCAACACUGAGCCAACUUUAUCAAGGAAGCUUCUAAUUGAAAAGUCUACCUUUAGAUUAGAUCUCAAAUCAGGCAGGAUUACCCGCUGAACUUAA
Molecule: unclassified non-coding RNA, 298 nt
Filed under: Sporobolomyces koalae
Lineage: Eukaryota; Fungi; Basidiomycota; Microbotryomycetes; Sporidiobolales; Sporidiobolaceae
Description: partial contains 5.8S ribosomal RNA, internal transcribed spacer 2, and large subunit ribosomal RNA
Source: RNAcentral